CAGAAGAUGACAACAAAGUCAAAGCUCCUACUUCCAAAGCCUCCAAGAAAAAAAGAGUUGGUCUCAGGCCAUGGAAGAGCUCAACAAGGACUUUGAAAAGAGAUAGAAGGAAAAUUGGGAACAGAGAAAGAUCUUUGAUGGACUACAGGGUUUCCAUUGGAGAGGGUCUCAUUAUGCACAGCUACACUGGGAAGGGGCUCAAACUUCGAAUGCACCCUGCUGCACUUUGCUAACAAGGAAAAGGUUUCUCAAACAGCCCCUCGCUGGAAGAACUGUCAAAGAGAAUCUUUCUUCUUCAUUCUGGCUGAACUCUUGGGAAUCUUAGCUCAGUCCAGAUGGUGAACCUCAGCUGCUCUAUGAAACAGAUAAAAAAAACAUGUUCAGAAGUAUAUGAAAUGAUUUCCCCAAGAAGUUGUUUUGCAUAAUUGAUAGAACUUUGAACUUAUGGACAAGAAAAACUGCUGUCCCUGAUACUUAUUAGUUUUACACAUCUGGGUGAGUGAACUCAGGACAAGGUCUAUAAUGACAUUUUUAGCUGAAUUUCCAAAUCUUGGUGAUAUGAUUGUCCUCGAAUGACAAGGCACAAUUUGCAAAUGUCCUGUGGUGGGAAUGUGCUGUGUGGCUUCAUCCUGGCAAUUUGAUUCAGCCAAUUAAACAGCCCCUGAUGAGAAACCCUAGGACAGGAAGCCCUGCCAGAACCAUGCCCACCAAUUCUAUAGUUUGCAAUAUUUUCCCCCAAAGGCUCUGUGCAAUUGCUUUUAUAUUGAUCAUUUGAGGCAUGGCCACAGGAAACUGGUUUGAAAACUGAAAUGUCAGAUCAUUUUCCUGAAAACAUACCAGCUUUUUCCUGAUUAAAACACUGUAAGAAAGUAUUUCUUGUAUUAGUACAAAUCCCCCGAGGUAUCUCUUAUUCUAAAUAAUAGGCCUUUUUUAACUACUUGCCUAAAGAUAUCACACUGGUAAUCGGUGGUAAGGAGUGAAUGUACUAGCAUAGCAAGCUAUCAGCCCACCAUCCCCAAACAUGGUCAGCCUAAUAAAUAGGGAUUUUGGUAAUUCCUUCCAUGACUCUCUUGAAUUCUUCUUGGUCUAGUUUAAUCUCUCUGUCUCUUGAUUGGUUAAUUAAGAAACUGAAGAUAAA
RNAcentral lists this long non-coding RNA (1138 nucleotides) under Sarcophilus harrisii (Tasmanian devil). RNAcentral's name for it is "lncRNA (ENSSHAG00000031596.1)". Lineage: Eukaryota; Metazoa; Chordata; Mammalia; Dasyuromorphia; Dasyuridae. The record is from RNAcentral.